UACGGGGGGAGCAAGCGUUGUUCGGAUUUACUGGGCGUAAAGGGCGCGUAGGCGGUCAGCACAAGUCAGUUGUGAAAUCUCCGGGCUUAACUCGGAAAGGUCAACUGAUACUGUGCGACUAGAGUGCGGAAGGGGCAACUGGAAUUCUCGGUGUAGCGGUGAAAUGCGUAGAUAUCAGGAGGAACACCGGUGGCGAAGGCGGGUCUCUGGGCCGGAACUGACGCUGAGGAGCGAAAGCGUGGGGAGCGAACAGG
Molecule: ribosomal RNA, 254 nt
Filed under: uncultured bacterium
Lineage: Bacteria
Description: partial 16S ribosomal RNA
Rfam family: Bacterial small subunit ribosomal RNA
Source: RNAcentral